CGCGCGAUGGCCUAGUGGCUAACGCGUCUGUUUGCAAUUUCGAGGUCUCAGGUUCAACCCCCGGCGGGGUGA
Molecule: non-coding RNA, 72 nt
Organism: Caenorhabditis brenneri
Lineage: Eukaryota; Metazoa; Nematoda; Chromadorea; Rhabditida; Rhabditidae
Source: the annotation of a GenBank genome assembly